This 229-nucleotide ribosomal RNA is filed under the name uncultured bacterium. Its description in RNAcentral is "partial 16S ribosomal RNA". It matches the Rfam family "Bacterial small subunit ribosomal RNA", at positions 524 to 751 of the family's 1533-position model. The record is from RNAcentral.
UACAGAGGGUGCGAGCGUUGUUCGGAAUUAUUGGGCGUAAAGCGCUUGUAGGCGGCACGUCAAGUCGCGUGUGAAAUCCCCAGGCUUAACCUGGGAAGUGCGCGCGAAACUGACGAGCUUGAGUGCCGGAGAGGGUCGCGGAAUUCCCGGUGUAGAGGUGAAAUUCGUAGAUAUCAAGCGGAACACCGGUGGCGAAGGCGGCCUUCUGGGACAGUGACUGACGCUGAGA